Molecule: ribosomal RNA, 304 nt
Filed under: uncultured Sphingomonas sp.
Lineage: Bacteria; Pseudomonadati; Pseudomonadota; Alphaproteobacteria; Sphingomonadales; Sphingomonadaceae
Description: bacterial SSU rRNA
Rfam family: Bacterial small subunit ribosomal RNA
Source: RNAcentral
GCGUAACGCGUGGGAAUCUGCCCUUGAGUUCGGAAUAACAGUUAGAAAUGACUGCUAAUACCGGAUGAUGUCUUCGGACCAAAGAUUUAUCGCCCAGGGAUGAGCCCGCGUCGGAUUAGCUAGUUGGUGGGGUAAAAGCCUACCAAGGCGACGAUCCGUAGCUGGUCUGAGAGGAUGAUCAGCCACACUGGGACUGAGACACGGCCCAGACUCCUACGGAAGGCAGCUAGUGGGGAAUAUUGGACAAUGGGCGAAAGCCUGAUCCAGCAAUGCCGCGUGAGUGAUGAAGGCCUUAGGGUUGUAA